Astyanax mexicanus (Mexican tetra) is the source of this 2502-nucleotide long non-coding RNA. RefSeq lists it as uncharacterized. The record is from RefSeq and is a predicted model, not a curated record. NCBI's taxonomy places the organism in Eukaryota, Metazoa, Chordata, Actinopteri, Characiformes, Acestrorhamphidae. The transcript is spliced from 3 exons.
CAAUGGGCUCUGCAUCACCUGAACCGGGAAGAAAACAAGAGCACUAAGCAGAAAUUCCAAAGUCAAAAUCAUGCAUAGUGUUCAAUGCAGCAUUCAUCAGGCUUUUUACUAAGAAAAGCACACCUACUUACCACUCAAUGGAAAUCAUUUACUUUUUAUGUAGUAGUGUUUUUUUCAGUACUCAGUAACAAAAACUAAAAAAAAAUAUAUAAAAAUUGAGGGGUGAAUGAUAAUAUUAAGCAAUACAAUAUAGAAUCUGCCAAUGGAGUAAGGCAAAACCUCAAAAUUCUUGAAUUAAGACUAAAUUUUAUAUCGUACAAAAAAGAUGUGUUGCCUUUAAUUAAGAGGAUUCACCUGAUAUUUUUUUUGCAGUGCAUUCAAUUACUAUUGACAGCCAUGCAUGUACAGUCUUAUUAUUUAUCGUUUUACAAAUGUAUGCAAUAUUUUUUUUGCUGUGCCAGAUUCUUAGUACUUUUCCAGUGGUCAGGAAGUUCAGAGUCGUUUAUUGAAAGCAAUUGCUGUGGAUGAGUAAUGCUGAGGGGCAGAGAAGUUUUGCUCGCUGUUCUUGAGAGACACGAGACCAAAAACCAUCUGGAUGAAGUGCUAGUAACCCCUCACUAAUUUAUCCAGUACCAGAAGAUGGGCGAUGCUUGCAUAGAGAUGCUCAACAUGGUGUAAAAAUAUCCCAAUAAAACCACACUUUUAAAGGACUGGAGCAACACAGUGGAUUAGUGGUUGGCACAUUUGCCUCUCAGCGCUGGGGUCCUGGGUAUAAGUCCCUAUCUGGAUGGAGUUUCCAUGUUCUACCUGUGUCUGAGUGGGUUUUCUUCAGGGACUCCAGUGCGAAACAUGGGCAUCAGGACUCCCCUAUCACUAGUAAUGCCCCAACACACCAGGAGGGUAAAGACUAACACAUGCUUCCUCUGAUACAUGUGAAGUCAGCCACCGCUUCUUUUCGAGCUGCUGCUGAUGCAGCAUUGCCAAGCAGCCAGCGCGCUCGGAGGACAGCGCAGCAGCUCGGUUCCGAUACAUCAGCUCACAGACGCCCUGUGCUGUGGAAAUCACCGUAGGAUUGAUGUGGGGAGAGAGUGCCAUCUACCUACCCAGACGGUUUGAACUUGAGACCUCCCGCUUGUAGUGGCUGCGCUUUAGACCGCUGGACCACUCGGCGCCCCCUCUUUCGUAAUGUUAAGCAAUAAAAGAUGUUAAUGAGCAAUAUAAAGCUUUUUUCCCACUUUUAGCUUUGCCAAUUAUCCCACCCACUUAGGUGCUCAGCUGUACUACCCCAAUCACUAGUAAUGCCCCAACUCCAGGAGGGUGAAGACUAAAACAUUGCCGAGUAGCAUCAGAGCACACUGAGAGGAAAGCAAGAUCGACGUCAUCCUAUAGGAGUGAUGAGGGGAAAGAGUGCCAUCUGUGCUCUCUCGGGGCUCUGGCAGCUGAUGGUGAGCUGCAUGACUGGAAUUCAAACCAGCGAUCUCCCGAUCACAGUGGCAGUGCCAAAAUAAUGUAAUAAAAUUGAUUAAAAGUCUUAACUCUAGUGUUGUACUGUUUAGUAACAAAAAGAGCAAGUUUGAGGAGGAUGAACAUGGGUGACCUAACCGUUAUGUUCAACUGUAUAUUCAACUUUUGAACAGUGCAAGAGGAAGUUCACCCUUUAACACGUCUCGAACAUGCGUGAAACCCCUAUCACAGUGUCUGUAGAAGAUAAGCACUGUCAACCCAGCCAGCCACACUUGGGCCCUUGGUCAGUGGACCAUUGUCGUAACUGUGGUACGCUGUUGUGUGGCUGGUAGCGUGAUACGGACCUUCGCCACCAGCUCAUAGGAACGUCCGGUGAUAAACUCUGUGGUCUUUCAAACAAGGCAAGAAAAGGCAUUUUAUAGGUCUGGUGAUGUCCCUGAACUGCUACAGGCUCGUUUGGGGUUUCUUAUCGUACGGAGAGAUCAUUGUCCUUUCACUACAUGCCUCCAUCAAACAGUUCUAUGAACUGUAUGAACAUUUCACCUAAAGAACAGAGUGCAGAGGUGCUAGAUCAAGAGGAUGCGUCACAUUUGCAUACUAAUUACUAAUACUAACUUGUUUUUAAGUGUAAAGUGUGUAGUAUAGAUAGAAGCUUUAAAGUUGAGUGUAUAUUAAGUGCAUAUGAAAUAUACCCAAUAUGCAAAUGCAGGACCGGUCAGUUUUUGACUGUUAUUAAUAUGGACACUAUUACUCACAAUGCAAUGCUAAACGAAACAGGAGGAGCUAGUCACCUCUGGAACAUAUUAGAAAGAAUUGUGGACGACAGCAGCUGAAUAAACUUUUUUUUUGUAUUGUAGUAUUAGCAACAUACAGAUCACUAGCCAUCAAACCAAACUGAACUGCUUAAAUUUUUGCACCAGGAGUAAAGGCAUAAAUUAUCCAAAAGCAGUGUGUAAGACUGGUGGAGGACAACAUGCCAAGAUGCAUGAAAACUGUGAUUAAAAACCAGGGUUAUUCCAUUAAAUAUUUAUUUUUGAA